RNAcentral lists this ribosomal RNA (343 nucleotides) under uncultured fungus. RNAcentral's name for it is "SSU rRNA". It matches the Rfam family "Eukaryotic small subunit ribosomal RNA", at positions 292 to 636 of the family's 1831-position model. Lineage: Eukaryota; Fungi. The record is from RNAcentral.
GGUUCAUUCAAAUUUCUUCCCUAUCAACUUUCGAUGGUAAGGUAUUGGCUUACCAUGGUUUCAACGGGUAACGGGGAAUUAGGGUUCGAUUCCGGAGAGGGAGCCUGAGAAACGGCUACCACAUCCAAGGAAGGCAGCAGGCGCGCAAAUUACCCAAUCCCGACCGGGGAGGUAGUGACAAUAAAUACUGAUACAGGGCUCUUUUGGGUCUUGUAAUCGGAAUGAGUACAAUUUAAACCCCUUAACGAGGAACAAUUGGAGGGCAAGUCUGGUGCCAGCAGCCGGGUAAUUCCAGCUCCAAUAGCGUAUAUUACAGUUGUAGCAGUUAAAAAGCUCGUAGUUG